GAUCCUGGCUCAGAGCGAACGCUGGCGGCAGGCUUAANACAUGCAAGUCGAACGCCAUCUUCGGAUGGAGUGGCAGACGGGUGAGUAACGCGUGGGAACGUACCCUUUGGUUCGGAAUAUUCUCGGGAAACUGAGAGCAAUACCGCAUACGAUCUAAGGAUGAAAGCGGGGGAUCGCAAGACCUCGCGCGACUGGAGCGGCCGAUAUCAGAUUAGGUAGUUGGUAGGGUAAAGGCCUACCAAGCCAACGAUCUGUAGCGGGUCUGAGAGGAUGAUCCGCCACACUGGGACUGAGACACGGCCCAGACUCCUACGGGAGGCAGCAGUGGGGAAUUUUGGACAAUGGGCGAAAGCCUGAUCCAGCCAUGCCGCGUGAGUGAAGAAGGCCUUCGGGUUGUAAAGCUCUUUCGGCUGGGAAGAAAUCGCACAGGCUAAUACUCUGUGUGGAUGACGGUACCAGCACAAGAAGCACCGGCUAACUACGUG
This 485-nucleotide ribosomal RNA is filed under the name uncultured bacterium. RNAcentral describes it as "bacterial SSU rRNA". It matches the Rfam family "Bacterial small subunit ribosomal RNA", at positions 15 to 507 of the family's 1533-position model. The record is from RNAcentral.